This 580-nucleotide ribosomal RNA is filed under the name uncultured Bacteroidota bacterium. RNAcentral describes it as "bacterial SSU rRNA". It matches the Rfam family "Bacterial small subunit ribosomal RNA", at positions 337 to 916 of the family's 1533-position model. The record is from RNAcentral. Lineage: Bacteria; Pseudomonadati; Bacteroidota.
UCCUACGGGAGGCAGCAGUAAGGAAUAUUGGACAAUGGCCGCAAGGCUGAUCCAGCCAUCCAGCGUGCAGGAAGAAGGCCCUAUGGGUUGUAAACUGCUUUUAUCAGGGAAUAAACCUCUGGAUUCACUCCGGAGCUGAAGGUACCUGAAGAAUAAGCACCGGCUAACUCCGUGCCAGCAGCCGCGGUAAUACGGAGGGUGCGAGCGUUAUCCGGAAUUACUGGGUUUAAAGGGUGCGUAGGCGGCUUUGUAAGUCAGGAGUGAAAGUUUGCGGCUCAACCGUAAAAUUGCUUCUGAUACUGCAUGGCUAGAAUUAGGAUGAGGUCAGCGGAAUGUGGCAUGUAGCGGUGAAAUGCAUAGAUAUGCCAUAGAACACCAAUUGCGAAGGCAGCUGGCUAGACCUGGAUUGACGCUGAGGCACGAAAGCGUGGGGAGCGAACAGGAUUAGAUACCCUGGUAGUCCACGCCCUAAACGAUGCUUACUCGACGUAUGGCACUAGUUGUGUGCGUCCAAGGGAAACCGUUAAGUAAGCCACCUGGGGAGUACGACCGCAAGGUUGAAACUCAAAGGAAUUGACGG